This 254-nucleotide ribosomal RNA is filed under the name uncultured bacterium. Its description in RNAcentral is "partial 16S ribosomal RNA". It matches the Rfam family "Bacterial small subunit ribosomal RNA", at positions 524 to 776 of the family's 1533-position model. The record is from RNAcentral.
UACAGAGGGUGCGAGCGUUGUCCGGAAUCACUGGGCGUAAAGGGCGCGUAGGCGGCCUGAUAAGUAGGGGGUGAAAUCCUGUGGCUUAACUGCAGGGCUGCCUCCUAGACUGUUAGGCUCGAGCACGGUAGAGGCAGAUGGAAUUCCCGGUGUAGCGGUGGAAUGCGUAGAGAUCGGGAAGAACAUCGGUGGCGAAGGCGGUCUGCUGGGCCGUUGCUGACGCUGAGGCGCGACAGCGUGGGGGAGCAAACAGG